Long non-coding RNA from Cottoperca gobio, 1547 nucleotides. NCBI's taxonomy places the organism in Eukaryota, Metazoa, Chordata, Actinopteri, Perciformes, Bovichtidae. The record is from Ensembl.
GGCUGGUUGCGAGCAGAGCAGCUGCUCAUUGGUCCGGUAGAGAUCAGUCCAGGCGGUGAGGCCCGCCUCCUGCAGAUGACUCUCACACAGAAACAGAAGAGAUAGACUGCAGACUGACUGCCUUUAAAUUUCAAUCUGCUAAGGCCAAGAAAAAACAUAAUACUUAUAUACAACAAUUUUACAAAUGUUCACAGCACAAUUUUAAUUUCUGGAAUAUUAGAAAAUAUUAAAAAUAAUAAUACACUGUGAAAUUAUAUUUUUCUGUAAAGUGUUAUUCCCCUCCUGAAGGUGCUGCCUCCUCCCAGUUUACAAUUCCAGAAGCAAACUGGGAGAAAAUACAAACCAUUCAGUUAUUUAUUGACUUAAAUGUCUUUCAAAAAACAAAAGUAAAACAACAUAUCCAGUCUUAAAGUGUAAGCCUGAAAAUUACAAAUGGGUUAGUGGUAUUGUGUUUUUGAGAUGUAAGCAAGAAGAUGUUGCAAGUGAAAUUAUACAAGUAUUUUUAUUAUUAUUACUACGUGUUUAUAUUAAUUUAUUAAUUAAUUAUAGUUUUCCUCUAUUUUUUUAUUAUGUUGUUUUAUUUGUAAAAGUUUUCUUCCUGUGUCUUUUGAAAUGGUGUGCUUAAAUGGUCAAAAAUCAUGUAUUCACAGUAAAAACAUUGAAAAUUGAUUUGAAUAGUUAAUUACAGUCAUGCUACAUAACUAUGAUUUCAUUCUUUGUAUUCGUGUUGUGGAAACAUAGUUUUAUUUCAAAUUCAGAGCUAAUAAAUGUCACUUUGUUUUGUCCCAAGUUGUCCAACACAGUGUGGUUGAGCUACCCGAUCUGUGCGGUGUAUGUCUAUGCUUACAGCUGCUCUGCACACACAAACUAUCCCUGUUUGUCUGUCUGUCUGUAGAUUAGUCUAUAGUUCAGUGUCAGGCUGCCCUGGUGCCGUUCAGCAGCUGUAAGGAGGACUCGAACCUGCGACCAGUCUAAAUCAGAGACUUUGAGUGAAACAUGCUGCUGUGAUUUCAUUCCUGAGACUUUGAUCCUCCGGUGGCUGCUGGGAAAUAAAGCGCCUCUCUGUGCUGGUGCUGCUCAGUCUCCGUUAAACACGUCCGUGUCUCUGGAGAAAUGUCAGCCGUUAGCUCAGACCAGAUCCAGAAACGAGCCGGAACCGAGCCGGAGCAGCUGGAGGCCGGGGUUCUACAACCGCAGACCGUGUUUGUCAUCCUGGACUCGGCUGAAACAAUCAACCUGGUCCGGGUGGAGUCCGGUAUCGUCGCUGACAUCGAGGUCGACAAUCUGCUGCCAUCAGACUGCGACACCUUCUACCAGAUCAAGAGUCAGCCAAUCAGCUUCAGGUAACAGCACGUAUACAAAGACGAUAUUAUAUCUUAAUUAAGAGACAUGUUAACGGCUUACAUGACUGACAGCCGCUCACACGAUACUAACAUCCCCCCCGCACACUUCCAUUUUCCCAAAAAUCUAAUUUGCACGUUGAGUUCAACUUCGGGCGAUGGUCACUCACUUGCAUUUGGACAUGUGACCGCCACCAAGAUGCAAUG